UCCCUCGAGGUGUUACAGAGAUGUUGCGUUCAAAAGUCCAAAACUGUGUUUUGUGAGGUCACCACACACGUGACCUUUGACCUUUGACCACCAAAAUCUAAUUGGUUCAUCCUUGACUCCUAGUGAAUGUUUGUGCCAAAUUUGAAGAAGUUCUGUCAAGACAUUUCAGAGAUAUCGCGUCCACGAGAAUGGGACGGACGGACAACCCGAAAACAGUAUGCCCACACCUACAUAACCCUGAUGACAUCACUAUGACAUCAUCAGGGUCGCUUUGUCAGCUUUUAGAAAGCUCAUCCAGAAUCACAGAAAACAACUUUUUUCACAAACUUUCAGUCUAACUUGCCAUUAAACUGGCAGAGUUAAACCAGCGAUAAUCAAUAUUUUAUUUAUAAUUUAUAAUUUAUUUAUUUUAAAUUUAUUUUUACAAUAACAAUGUAUCAAAUGACGUGAAAAACAACGCGUGAAAACUAUAAAAUAUACAGAUGCAAGCUGUUAUAAGAGGUGCAACACAAGGCGAUAAAUACUCAGGGGGGUAAUUAACUAAUGAGACAGAAACACUAAGUCCAGGCAGUUUUUACAAACAAAGAAGUGAACAGCCUGUGAGUCCAUGUGAAUCUGAAUCUGUUCAAAUGAAGCUGCAGUGUUCUUUGUUUUUUAUUUUUCCUUUUUGGUUCAAAAUAUCUGCUGCAUUUUGAGCCGGAUGGAAACAUGUCACAUAUAAAGUAACAAUGGAAACUAUGCUCUAAAGAAAUGAAGUGUGUAUGUGUGUGUGUCGCCCCCCCCCCCCCCUGCAUCUUCCCAAACAUUUCACCCGCCAGUCAAACUCCUGAGGUCCACCCUUCUCCUCCUCCAUCCCUCCCACCUUCCCUCCUUCCCUCCCUCCAGCCCUCCUUCCUGUUGCCAUCUACGUUUGGAGACGUUUUCGGAGCCUUUUAUUCCUCUCCUCGCCAUCUCUCUCUCCACUCUGUCACACCAUCCCACAGUCCCUCCCAUGGCCCCUUUAAUUGUCUCUUUUACAACCGCUCUCCCCGUCGCUCCCACUCGGUGCGUAAAAUGAAUUUCCCCUGAGAAAUAUUUCCCACAAGUCGCACCUCAGCUGGAUGAAGACGCCUGACGCGACACGCAGCUGAGAGUUGAGCAUUUUGCCUGGUUCAAGAUGUGGAGGGUGUGUGUGACUGCGUGGUUGUGUGUUUAGGAAAUGAGGGGGGCGUGUGUUGGGUCGUGAAUGCAGCCCUCACAGUGAAGUCUAUAAGCAACAGCUGGAUCAGCAGUCCAGCCUUGUCCCUCCGCGCCGCAGGUGAGUUCAACUUCUCCUCUCAUGUUCGGACCACAAAGGGUUUGCUGAAGGCAAAAAAAAAAAAAAAGUUUUAGAAACCCUGAAAUUAACUGUAGACAUGGGAAUAUAAACUCACACAAGGCUGUUGCAUUGGGGCCUUUCACAUUAAAUCAGUCUAGUGGUUAAAAGGUCAUGAUGCCUUCACUGUCAGGGAUCGGAAGGACUGUUUUCUGUCUCCUUUUGCUCUGGAAGAGAACAGCAGCUCAAAGUGAAAAGGUGCAAUGCUCCGCGGCCGGUCGAGUGGGCGUCCUACACCCUGUUCAGGGUCUGCUGGAGACGUUUGAGGCAGGUCCAGGCUGUGCUGCUAGACAACACGGGAACAAGGAGACUCAUGUGAUUGCUGUGGGGAGAGUGACAAACAGCCCUGAAAACAAGGUGACGGUGUUGCUGAAGCCGUUGUCUCUGUCCCUGUCACCUCUCAGAGUUCUCCACCUGCUGCUCAGCUCCAAGCUCCCAGUCAGCUGGUGGCUGGAGGCUGAGAGGCUGCCCCCCAACCUCCCAGUGCUGGUGCAGGUUUCCUCAAACUCCAGCGUACAAUCCCACACACUGCGUCUGCAUGUCCACGCGGUUCCUUUGUUACCUUUUCGCCCACGAGCGCUGCACCGCUGGGCUCUGAAACACUACGGCAACCUGUCCUCUCUGACACACACAACACACGGCAACCGGGUCUACGUCCGACUGGGAGAGGAUCCAACGCAGCCUGCGGUGUGCCAGCUACAGUCCAUGUUCCUCUCUCACAACUACUUGACCUCUGACCUGCAGCCACAGGAGGUGCAAGGCUGUGUCCACACUCCAGCAGGUGGGAUCGGCCCUGAAGUCCAUGUGAUCAAGCUCCAUUCGGCGGGAUCAGGGCUGUGUGGCUCUCUGCAGGUGGAGGUGAUUGUCUCUCUUGUGCCCCCGGUGGCCGACUCAAAGGCGCAGAAGGUUGUACUGGUUCUCAGCAGCUCGGUGCCGGUCAACUGGGCCAUUGUUGCUCAUGGUGUCCGGGGUCAUAUCUCUGUUCAUUCCUCCAACAGCGUGUCCCCACCCUUCCCUCCUGAGCCUGACCUGACCCUGUCCAGUAUGCUGAACUCUGACCUGUCCACCAUGUCUGACCUUCUCGCCUGGGCAAGUGAAAGCGGCUACACCAAGGUGACCUCAUACACUGAGGCUGACCUGGCCAAUCGCUUUGUGAUCCAGCUGGCUGGGGGCGGGACAGACGUGCUCGCGGCGAUGAACCCUCUGGUUGUGAGGCCUCCCUGGGCCGAGGAGCACAGGCUGAGGCAGUGGCUGAACGCCGGAGGCAGAGCGGGAGAAGGCCGAGAGAGUUUCACAGUGCAGUGUGAGGAUGGACGCCUCAGCGUGACCGUGGACCAACACAUCCUGCAGAGCUUGUCUGUCCCAGUGGCUGUCGUGACUCUGCAGGACCCGACGUGCCAGGCUCAGUCCAAUGGGAGCCAUUUCCUGUUGAUGUUCCCAGUCAUUUCCUGUGGGACUGAGGGUCUGCUCCUGGGACAGCCCAGAGGGGUGCAGUACAAAAACAUGAUCUUAUUGUGGAGGGACAAGCCUCAGACCAUCCUGGCGCUCGAUGAGACGGAGAGGAAGUCCAAACGUCCACUCGGCAUACAUUUUAGCUGCUUGGCUGCAGUGCCCAGCUCCUCCGGCCCUGCUGCAGAUAAUGUUGACGAGACGAACAGUCCUCAGGCCGGGCUCUCCCCCUGGACACCAGGGGAUCCAGGGCCCGAUCCAGGGCGGACCCAUCUCCCGACACCCAGACACAGAUCUGGGCCCAUUCUUAUUUUAAGACUUUUCGUCACUGAGAAUUACGAGCAGAGGCUGAUCGGCCCCUGUGUCAUCACUGCAGGCCACCGUGUCUAUGUCGAGGUUUCAGCCAAAGGACCCCUCGCAGAUGUGGUGGAGGUGAAGUCAUGUGUCGUCUCUCCUCUGUCAGACCCAAAGAAAUCUCCUUUCUGGACCGUCAUAAGCGACGGCUGCUCCUCAGACCCCUCGCUGACCCUCAGCGCAAAGUCAAAAGAUGAAGACGAGGAAGAGGAGGAAGAUGACGGCGACCUGGACGAGGAAGAAGAAGAAGAAGAAGAGGAAGAGGAAGAAGGAAUGGAGAAUGAAAGAAUCAAUCACAGAGAUGGAGAUGUCUCACUCCGACAUAAAAUUGAAAGGAGGAGGAAGGAAAAGAACCGCACAAGCAUGGGAGCAGAGCAGGAGAUGCAGCUGUUGAGAUUUAGUUUUAUCCUGCGGCCGGUUCAUAAUGACUCCAUGCAGUUCCUCCACUGCAGCCUUCGUAUGUGUGUCUCUGACUCGACCAGAGGGGAACCCAUGAAGGAAGCGGCGAGGAAUGAGUGUCAGGGCAGACUGCGUAUUCCACCGCUUGUAUCUAAGUCCCCCAAACAUCAGUGUGAGAUCAGAAACCUGUCCAGGCCCAUGGUUGUCACCCAGUCGAUCAGCUCCCUGGCACCCAAACUGCCGAGGCCUCCUGCUGGACAAAGAACCAAGAGGCUGAGUGUCUCUCCACUGGCCAGUCCGGACCCAAAGCACAGCAGCUCUGUGGUGCAGGCAGGAUCAGUGUUGGGAAUUGUCUUUACAGCCUUUAUGAUGGGUGCCAGCCUGAUGGGAGGGCUGUGGUGCAUCUACAACUAUACAGCAGCGUAUUCAACAUUAAUUGGAAGAGAAAGUCAUUUAACUGACCAGAGCCAUGGAGGCCACAACACCUGGAAUCCACUGUCACAGUCUGAUCAGUCGUCCAGCUCGGUGUAGAGGAUUUCCUCCGGCAAAUCUGAGAAAAGGAGAACUGGGACAGAGGUUCUAACAACUUGUGUGUGAGCGAGCACAGCUGCCUCUCUCUCUCUCUCUCUCUCUCUCUCUCUUUCUCUUUCUCUCUCUCUGUGUGUGUGUGUGUGUGUGUGUGUGUGUGUGUGUGUGUGUGUGUGUGUGUGCAGAGCCGUGUUUGUGCAGUCCUCCUCGCGAGUAUCGUUCAUCGCCGUGCAGCAGAAAUGCAAGAGGACUGAAACCAUGUGAAUACAGUAGCACCUACUCACCGCCGCUUCGUGACAAGUCAGAUGUGUGACUCAAAGUGAAACGUUGUUUGUUUGAUGCCGGACGCCACUCUACACCAAGUCAUUUCAAAACUGGCAGCGAAUCAUCAUAUGGAGAGACGUUUAUCUGGAUUCAACAGGAGCUAAACUUGUUUGGAAUGACUCAGACAGAAACAACAUCGUCAUCGACAGAACACAAGGUCACACAGGAUUCAUCAGGUUACCGUGCGUCUGCCUGUCUGAAGAGUCUGUGUUUUACAGAGUCAUUUUCACUAUUUGUCCUGUAACUGUGAAUCAGCUGGAUUUCAAAACUACAUCUAUGUGUAUGUGAAUUCUCUUGUGUUCAUGUGGCAAAGAAGAUGUUUUACACUGAGCUAUAAAUCCAUGUGGUCUGUCGCUCUCGAAUCACAUGUGACGCAAAUACAACAAAGGAAGUUAGUGUGUUAUGAAUAAGUCAAACAUCUACGGUGUGUAAAAUAUAUUCAUCUCUCUGUUUAAAGCAGUAAUAAAUUAUUUUUUGGCCUCUGAAGUGUAGCACAGUAAACCUGCUUUCAUAUCUGUGCAUGUAUGUUUGAAACGAACCCUAAUGAGAGCAGAAAGAGUAAAUCAAAACAUUAAAGUUGUGUGCAUUAAAAUAACUACAACAGCAGUUCCCAACCUUUUCCGACUCAUGGCCCAUUUGAAAAUCUCAAACAUGUUGCCGACCCAAACCUGGCCAAAUAAUUCUCAGAGUAUUUGUUGUUUUAAUGAUAAUGAGAAACAUAAGCUCAAUUAUUCUGUCUCUUUACUCUCUUUCUGUUUCAUUUCUUUCACUCUUCCUGUUGCUAACCAGCUAUCCAUUUUGAUAUUCCAUCUUUUAGCGCGCAGUCAGACUGAGAUAGCAAACAAGUCUAUGAUGCGAGCUUUAAAUAAACAUUUCCUUUUAAAACAUUUAAAAAUAAUAUUGUGCUGUUUUGCGAAUGAUUAGUCGGCCCACCAUUGUGCCCUGGGCCAAAGGUUGGGAACCACUGGACGAGGUGAAAGAUUCUCAAAUUGAGCUGAGUGGAAACCCCCUCAGAUUUCAGAUAGUCAAUCAAUCCAUUGCUCCAUUGCAAUAUUAUUGUUUAGUGCAUCUUUAAAUCUCAGUAUUUUUAUGUUGCAUUAGAAAUGUUACUCAUGUUUUCACGUGUAGUCUGUGUUUUGAAACUUUUAUUUUUAGAAUAUAAUUUCAAAAUAAGCUUCCUGUUGUGUGCAGCAGAACAAGAACAUCCUGUGAAUGGAUCAUCAUCAGUUAUCGCUGUUGGUAACAUGGCUGCAGUGUAUUAAGGAUGCCUGCUUCAGUAAUGCAGCUCAUAAAGACAAAGAUCAAAAAGACGCGACAACUCUCACAACCCACAGGCGGACGUACCUUUUCACAGAGUGGACAUUGGCUGACGGGGGAUUUUAGAGAAAGUGUUUGGUACCUGAAGUCCACGGAUCAUCUUUGUGGGGGCUGUUAAACUGGACCCCAUCCCAUUGUGAGCAAGCUUCAGCCAGAAGGGUUUUGACCCCAAAUGUGGGGGACGAGGGCUGCAC
This is an RNA transcript of Seriola aureovittata, 5919 nucleotides long. It is a transcript of the gene named endoglin, like, with no coding region annotated. Lineage: Eukaryota; Metazoa; Chordata; Actinopteri; Carangiformes; Carangidae. The record is from RefSeq and is a predicted model, not a curated record. The transcript has 19 exons.